GCAGUAGCCACGGGAAAACGUAGGCGGCAAGCGUUGUCCGGAAUUAUUGGGCGUAGAGGGAGCGCAGGUGGGACGGUAAGUCCGUCUUAAAAGGCAGGGGCUCAGCCCCUGUAAGGGAUGGAAACUAUCGAUCUUGAGUGCCGGAGAGGAAAGCGGAAUUCCCAGUGUAGCGGUGAAAUGCGUAGAUAUUGGGAAGAACACCAGUGGCGAAGGCGGCUUUCUGGACGGCAACUGACACUGAGGCUCGAAAGCCAGGGGAGCGAACGGGAUUAGAUACCCCGGUAGUCCCUGUCUCUUAUACA
This 302-nucleotide ribosomal RNA is filed under the name uncultured bacterium. RNAcentral describes it as "partial 16S ribosomal RNA". It matches the Rfam family "Bacterial small subunit ribosomal RNA", at positions 508 to 809 of the family's 1533-position model. The record is from RNAcentral.